GACAGCAGUCGCCACGGUAAGACAGAGGAUGCAAGCGUUAUCCGGAAUGAUUGGGCGUAAAGCGUCUGUAGGUGGCUUUUCAAGUCCGCCGUCAAAUCCCAGGGCUCAACCCCGGAACUGCCUUUGAUACUGGGUGUCUAGAGUAUGGAAGAGGUGAGUGGAAUUCCGAGUGUAGAGGUGAAAUUCGUAGAUAUUCGGAGGAACACCAGUGGCGAAGGCGGCUCACUGGUCCAUUACUGACGCUGAGGUGCGAAAGCGUGGGGAGCAAACAGGAUUAGAUACCCCGGUAGUCCCUGUCUCUUAUAC
This 306-nucleotide ribosomal RNA is filed under the name uncultured bacterium. RNAcentral describes it as "partial 16S ribosomal RNA". It matches the Rfam family "Bacterial small subunit ribosomal RNA", at positions 507 to 807 of the family's 1533-position model. The record is from RNAcentral.